Molecule: long non-coding RNA, 1333 nt
Organism: Cyprinus carpio carpio
Lineage: Eukaryota; Metazoa; Chordata; Actinopteri; Cypriniformes; Cyprinidae
Source: Ensembl
AUGAACAAUCUAUUUUUCAGAUCAUUUAUUAAUCUUUUUUAUGUUAGUUAAUCCUAUCAUUAAAAAUAUUAAUGUUAAUGUUAUUUCACAGUACAUAAACUAUCUUAAAAUAAAACUGUAAAUAAAAAAUGUAUUAGUAAAUAAUGUAUUAAAAUAUUUUUAACUAAGCUUUAAUUAACAUAUAUGUGUGUGUGUUAAAUGAUAUAGUUAAAUAAUAUAGUCUUUAAAAUUAGUACAAGCUAGGUAUUAACAACAUAUUUUUACUGCAUUUGUUUGUGUUAGUAAAAAAAAUAAUAUGUUAAUUAAUGGUACAGUAACUGAUGUACAUUAACUAUAAAUUUUAAAUAAUAAUGUAGUAAUCCAUUUUGAACAUAAUAUUAACUAAGAUUCAUAAAUGCUAUAUAAAUGAUGUACAUGUUAACUUAUAUAAUGUUAAAAACUAAAUCCUUAUUGAAAAGUGUUAGAAUAAUUUUAGAAUAAUAUAUAUAUAUAUAUUGUUCUUUGUGUGUGUGUGUGUGUGAGAAAGACAGAUAGAGAGAGACUCACAUUAAUAAAUGCCAUACAAUUGUUGUUAAUGUAAUUUAAUAUAAUUAAUGUUAAUAACUGAAACCUUAUUGGAAGUGUUACUUAAGUUUUAUAUGUUGUGUUGUGUGUCUCUUGAUGGUUCGGAUUAACCCUUUCAUUGCUGUAUGCCUUAAUUCCAAACUGCUAAAUUAAGUGUGCCCAAUCCUGUUCCUGGUGAUCGACUGUCCUGCAAAGUUCAGCUCCAACUCUAAUCAGUCACACCUACCUUUAAUUUUCAAGCAAUCCUGAAGACAUUCAUUAGUUGGUUCAGGUGUGUUUGAGUAGGGUUGGAGCUAAACUUUACAGGACAGUCGAUCGCCAUUAACAGAGUUGGACACCCCUGAGCUAGACGGUUACUGUGUAUGUGCCGCUGGGCACAGCUUUCCUGAUGCCACCGGGGUGGCGUUUGCGCUGACGGCUCGGGCCCGCCAUCGCUGCUUGCAGCUAUAUUGAUUAUUAUUUUUUUUUUUUUCUUUCUUUAUUCCUCUAAUUUUUUUCCAAGGGUUCGGGGGCUUUUGGGGCCCUUAACAUGCUUAAAAAGUCUUGAAAAUUGGCACACACCUUGGAAUCUGCGGCCAUUAGGGCCGGGCAGAGACUGAUACACGGGCGUGGCACAGGGGCUCUACAGCGCCCCCUGGAAUAUUGAGGGCCAUAUAUCAUCCAUACUUGCACGUAUACAUAUGAAACUCGGUACACAUGUAGAUCUCAUCAAACCAAACAACUUUCGCACUGCAUGUCAUAAACUCCGCCCAACAGGAAGUUGGCUAUU